Molecule: ribosomal RNA, 253 nt
Filed under: uncultured bacterium
Lineage: Bacteria
Description: partial 16S ribosomal RNA
Rfam family: Bacterial small subunit ribosomal RNA
Source: RNAcentral
UACGUAGGGGGCAAGCGUUGUCCGGAUUCAUUGGGCGUAAAGAGCGUGUAGGCGGCCAGGUAGGUCGGUUGUGAAAACUGGAGGCUCAACCUUCAGACGUCGACCGAAACCAUCUGGCUAGAGUCCGGGAGAGGAGAGUGGAAUUCCUGGUGUAGCGGUGAAAUGCGCAGAUAUCAGGAGGAACACCGGUGGCGAAGGCGGGUCUCUGGACCGAUACUGACGCUGAGGAGCGAAAGCGUGGGGAGCGAACAGG